CUCACGCACACGUACACAGAAACACGGUUACUGUAAUAUAAACGACUUCUCGAAGAAUGCAAUCUAGAAGACUCUGUGCAUUGCUGCUUAAUAUUUUUAAGCAGAGUACGACUAUCACCAUACGAAGGCGUUCCAUCACCGGACGGACGGACGGACGGAAGACGUGGAACACUGUCAAGGACGUCAACGACGGCUGUAAAAGUGAAAUAAAACCUUCGUGUUUUUGCGGCUUCUGAUUAUUUAUAACGCCGACGUAGCAAUACCACAUCACGCCACACACACAGCGCAAAAAUCCAUUCUUAGAGAGCGCACCACGCCGUUAACAUAGCAAUCAGAGAACAAGGAACCACAGGAUGAACGAAGAAGAAUGAAAUACUCGUCAGGUCAGAAGAAAUCGCAUUGGACACGGUUGUGUAUCAUGUGGGAAUAAGCUGCAUGGGCCGUACUGCCACAAGGUGUACAGUAGGCGCCAAUAAUUUUGUAUUCAUCAAACGGUGGCGACAGGAUGCGACGCUUGGCACGUCACACCUAGCGCAUAAGACGCUACGCAUAUACCGCUCGAUGACAAUGAACGGGCGCGCCUCCCGUAUCGCCUUGCGCCGGGAAUGGGUGACGCGACGCGCCACACCUACGAGCCAACGUCCGGCCGAUAAUGACGAAAAACCGGACGAAUUGAAAAUGUCGCCGGCCGGUUUUCGGAAACGUAUAAAUAGGCACGGACGAAAGAUCAUAAGUUAGUUAUUAUCCAGAGGAAGAGACGA
Molecule: long non-coding RNA, 761 nt
Organism: Priapulus caudatus
Lineage: Eukaryota; Metazoa; Priapulida; Priapulimorpha; Priapulimorphida; Priapulidae
Exons: 3
Source: RefSeq, a predicted model, not a curated record